AUAUCAGUCAUGCAUAGCAUAUCAAUAAGCGGAGGAAAAGAAACUAACAAGGAUUCCCUUAGUAACGGCGAGUGAAGCGGGAAGAGCUCAAAUUUGAAAUCUUCAAGGUUUUACCUUGACGAAUUGUAGUCUAAAGAAGUGUUUUCUGUUGAAGUUUUGGUAAAAGUUCUUUGGAAUAGGACAUCAUAGAGGGUGAGAAUCCCGUAUUUGACCAUUACUUUCAGCUUUGUGAUACACUUUCAAAGAGUCGGAUUGUUUGGGAAUGCAGUCCAAAAUGGGUGGUAAAUCUCAUCUAAAGCUAAAUAUUGGCGAGAGACCGAUAGCGAACAAGUACCGUGAGGGAAAGAUGAAAAGAACUUUGAAAAGAGAGUUAAACAGUACGUGAAAUUGUCAAAAGGGAAGCGUUUGACACCAGUGUUGUUUUCUCGAAAAUCAAUUAAAAAGAGUUGGAUUUUGUGUUGUAUUGACUUUAUCAGCUUUCUUCACUCUUUUCCAGCUUUUUUUAAUGCACUUUUCGUUUAACAAGUCAACAUCAGUUUCCUUUGUUGUAAAAAGGUCAUUGGAAGGUGGCUUUCUCUUCGGAGAAAGUGUUUAUAGCCUUUGACUCAUGCAAUCGGAGAGACUGAGGUCUGCAGCGUAGAUCCUUCGGGGUUAGAUACAUUUGUGCUAAGUUAUAGCUUUUCAUAGACAACUUGUUGACUAUGUUUAGUCUUGUAGCUUACUCGCUUAUGCUAUUUUACCUACGCUUAGGAUGUUGAACUCUAUCACACACA
RNAcentral lists this ribosomal RNA (773 nucleotides) under uncultured Neocallimastigales. Its description in RNAcentral is "partial large subunit ribosomal RNA". It matches the Rfam family "Eukaryotic large subunit ribosomal RNA", at positions 22 to 615 of the family's 3401-position model. The record is from RNAcentral. Lineage: Eukaryota; Fungi; Neocallimastigomycota; Neocallimastigomycetes; Neocallimastigales.